This 253-nucleotide ribosomal RNA is filed under the name uncultured bacterium. Its description in RNAcentral is "partial 16S ribosomal RNA". It matches the Rfam family "Bacterial small subunit ribosomal RNA", at positions 524 to 776 of the family's 1533-position model. The record is from RNAcentral.
UACGUAGGUGGCAAGCGUUGUCCGGAUUUACUGGGCGUAAAGAGCGCGCAGGCGGUCGGAUAAGUCGAAUGUGAAAGCCCCCGGCUUAACUGGGGAGGGUCAUUCGAUACUGUUUGACUGGAAGGCAGGAGAGGGAAGCGGAAUUCCCGGUGUAGUGGUGAAAUGCGUAGAUAUCGGGAGGAACACCAGUGGCGAAGGCGGCAUCCUGGCCCUGUCCUGACGCUCAGGGGCGAAAGCGUGGGGAGCAAACCGG